RNAcentral lists this ribosomal RNA (301 nucleotides) under uncultured bacterium. RNAcentral's name for it is "partial 16S ribosomal RNA". It matches the Rfam family "Bacterial small subunit ribosomal RNA", at positions 509 to 807 of the family's 1533-position model. The record is from RNAcentral.
CAGUCGCCACGGGAAUACGGAGGGGGCUAGCGUUGUUCGGAAUUACUGGGCGUAAAGCGCACGUAGGCGGCUUGGUAAGUUAGAGGUGAAAGCCUGGAGCUCAACUCCAGAAUUGCCUUUAAGACUGCCGAGCUAGCAGGUGAGAGAGGUAAGUGGAAUUCCGAGUGUAGAGGUGAAAUUCGUAGAUAUUCGGAAGAACACCAGUGGCGAAGGCGGCUUACUGGCUCACACUGGACGCUGAGGUGCGAAAGCGUGGGGAGCAAACAGGAUUAGAUACCCCUGUAGUCCCUGUCUCUUAUAC